CAUUGGCGAAAUUUAAGGAAUUAAUUGACUUUGCUAGGCGAAAGAGCUGUUUGUAUAUCCCCCGGCGUGACUUUGAGGGCUAACGCUUUGAGGGGUCCAAUCAGAUGUAAUAGGAAUUGUAUCAAAAUCCGUGAUGCCGCUGACAUCAGGGCCGGUCGCCGACGGCCACACGAAAGCCGGCUUGAAAGGUGGGACACGGGGCACUGCCACUGAUCCUGAUAUCAUCUGAAAGAUUUCAUGUGUUUUAGGCCUCUCGCUAGCAAUAGGAUGGGAGCAUGCCAGCCCAAGCAACAGCAGCCUUUGGGCUUCCUCAACAUCGUAAUUAUUGCCAAGCCUC
This 337-nucleotide unclassified non-coding RNA is filed under the name Hevea brasiliensis (rubber tree). The record is from RNAcentral. Lineage: Eukaryota; Viridiplantae; Streptophyta; Magnoliopsida; Malpighiales; Euphorbiaceae.